This 241-nucleotide ribosomal RNA is filed under the name uncultured Planctomycetota bacterium. RNAcentral describes it as "uncultured planctomycete partial 16S ribosomal RNA". It matches the Rfam family "Bacterial small subunit ribosomal RNA", at positions 571 to 810 of the family's 1533-position model. The record is from RNAcentral. Lineage: Bacteria; Pseudomonadati; Planctomycetota.
GUAGGUGGGUUUGUAAGUCAGAUGUGAAAGCCUUCUGUUCAAAGGAAGAACGGCAUCUGAAACUGCAGAUCUUGAGUGUAGGAGGGGAGAGUGGAACUUCUGGUGGAGCGGUGAAAUGCGUAGAUAUCAGAAGGAACGUCGGCGGCGAAAGCGACUCUCUGGCCUAUUACUGACACUGAGUGUGCGAAAGUUAGGGGAGCAAACGGGAUUAGAUACCCAGGUAGUCCUAACUGUAAACGAU